RNAcentral lists this ribosomal RNA (2989 nucleotides) under Salmonella enterica subsp. enterica serovar Infantis. RNAcentral's name for it is "23S ribosomal RNA". It matches the Rfam family "Bacterial large subunit ribosomal RNA". The record is from RNAcentral. Lineage: Bacteria; Pseudomonadati; Pseudomonadota; Gammaproteobacteria; Enterobacterales; Enterobacteriaceae.
GGUUAAGCGACUAAGCGUACACGGUGGAUGCCCUGGCAGUCAGAGGCGAUGAAGGGCGUGCUAAUCUGCGAUAAGCGCCGGUAAGGUGAUAUGAACCGUUAUAACCGGCGAUACCCGAAUGGGGAAACCCAGUGUGACUCGUCACACUAUCAUUAACUGAAUCCAUAGGUUAAUGAGGCGAACCGGGGGAACUGAAACAUCUAAGUACCCCGAGGAAAAGAAAUCAACCGAGAUUCCCCCAGUAGCGGCGAGCGAACGGGGAGGAGCCCAGAGCCUGAAUCAGCAUGUGUGUUAGUGGAAGCGUCUGGAAAGGCGCGCGAUACAGGGUGACAGCCCCGUACACAAAAGCGCAUGUGCUGUGAGCUCGAUGAGUAGGGCGGGACACGUGGUAUCCUGUCUGAAUAUGGGGGGACCAUCCUCCAAGGCUAAAUACUCCUGACUGACCGAUAGUGAACCAGUACCGUGAGGGAAAGGCGAAAAGAACCCCGGCGAGGGGAGUGAAAAAGAACCUGAAACCGUGUACGUACAAGCAGUGGGAGCACAGGUUUACCUGUGUGACUGCGUACCUUUUGUAUAAUGGGUCAGCGACUUAUAUUCUGUAGCAAGGUUAACCGAAUAGGGGAGCCGGAGGGAAACCGAGUCUUAAUUGGGCGUUAAGUUGCAGGGUAUAGACCCGAAACCCGGUGAUCUAGCCAUGGGCAGGUUGAAGGUUGGGUAACACUAACUGGAGGACCGAACCGACUAAUGUUGAAAAAUUAGCGGAUGACCUGUGGCUGGGGGUGAAAGGCCAAUCAAACCGGGAGAUAGCUGGUUCUCCCCGAAAGCUAUUUAGGUAGCGCCUCGUGAAUUCAUCUCCGGGGGUAGAGCACUGUUUCGGCUAGGGGGCCAUCCCGGCUUACCAACCCGAUGCAAACUGCGAAUACCGGAGAAUGUUAUCACGGGAGACACACGGCGGGUGCUAACGUCCGUCGUGAAGAGGGAAACAACCCAGACCGCCAGCUAAGGUCCCAAAGUCAUGGUUAAGUGGGAAACGAUGUGGGAAGGCCCAGACAGCCAGGAUGUUGGCUUAGAAGCAGCCAUCAUUUAAAGAAAGCGUAAUAGCUCACUGGUCGAGUCGGCCUGCGCGGAAGAUGUAACGGGGCUAAACCAUGCACCGAAGCUGCGGCAGCGAACGUAUCACUUAAAGCGAUUCAGCGGGUUACGAUUGACGGAGCGAAGCGACGUCAAAGCGUAUACAAAGUCGAGUCGGUUUAAGGAUACGUUCGUUGGGUAGGGGAGCGUUCUGUAAGCCUGUGAAGGUGUGUCGUGAGGCAUGCUGGAGGUAUCAGAAGUGCGAAUGCUGACAUAAGUAACGAUAAAGCGGGUGAAAAGCCCGCUCGCCGGAAGACCAAGGGUUCCUGUCCAACGUUAAUCGGGGCAGGGUGAGUCGACCCCUAAGGCGAGGCCGAAAGGCGUAGUCGAUGGGAAACGGGUUAAUAUUCCCGUACUUGGUGUUACUGCGAAGGGGGGACGGAGAAGGCUAUGUUGGCCGGGCGACGGUUGUCCCGGUUUAAGCGUGUAGGUGUGUGUUCCAGGUAAAUCCGGUUCACUUUAACACUGAGGCGUGAUGACGAGGCACUACGGUGCUGAAGCAACAAAUGCCCUGCUUCCAGGAAAAGCCUCUAAGCAUCAGGUAACAUCAAAUCGUACCCCAAACCGACACAGGUGGUCAGGUAGAGAAUACCAAGGCGCUUGAGAGAACUCGGGUGAAGGAACUAGGCAAAAUGGUGCCGUAACUUCGGGAGAAGGCACGCUGACACGUAGGUGAAGUGAUUUACUCAUGGAGCUGAAGUCAGUCGAAGAUACCAGCUGGCUGCAACUGUUUAUUAAAAACACAGCACUGUGCAAACACGAAAGUGGACGUAUACGGUGUGACGCCUGCCCGGUGCCGGAAGGUUAAUUGAUGGGGUCAGCGCAAGCGAAGCUCCUGAUCGAAGCCCCGGUAAACGGCGGCCGUAACUAUAACGGUCCUAAGGUAGCGAAAUUCCUUGUCGGGUAAGUUCCGACCUGCACGAAUGGCGUAAUGAUGGCCAGGCUGUCUCCACCCGAGACUCAGUGAAAUUGAACUCGCUGUGAAGAUGCAGUGUACCCGCGGCAAGACGGAAAGACCCCGUGAACCUUUACUAUAGCUUGACACUGAACAUUGAGCCUUGAUGUGUAGGAUAGGUGGGAGGCUUUGAAGCGUGGACGCCAGUCUGCGUGGAGCCGACCUUGAAAUACCACCCUUUAAUGUUUGAUGUUCUAACGUGGACCCGUAAUCCGGGUUGCGGACAGUGUCUGGUGGGUAGUUUGACUGGGGCGGUCUCCUCCUAAAGAGUAACGGAGGAGCACGAAGGUUGGCUAAUCCUGGUCGGACAUCAGGAGGUUAGUGCAAUGGCAUAAGCCAGCUUGACUGCGAGCGUGACGGCGCGAGCAGGUGCGAAAGCAGGUCAUAGUGAUCCGGUGGUUCUGAAUGGAAGGGCCAUCGCUCAACGGAUAAAAGGUACUCCGGGGAUAACAGGCUGAUACCGCCCAAGAGUUCAUAUCGACGGCGGUGUUUGGCACCUCGAUGUCGGCUCAUCACAUCCUGGGGCUGAAGUAGGUCCCAAGGGUAUGGCUGUUCGCCAUUUAAAGUGGUACGCGAGCUGGGUUUAGAACGUCGUGAGACAGUUCGGUCCCUAUCUGCCGUGGGCGCUGGAGAACUGAGGGGGGCUGCUCCUAGUACGAGAGGACCGGAGUGGACGCAUCACUGGUGUUCGGGUUGUCAUGCCAAUGGCACUGCCCGGUAGCUAAAUGCGGAAGAGAUAAGUGCUGAAAGCAUCUAAGCACGAAACUUGCCCCGAGAUGAGUUCUCCCUGAGACUUAGAGUCUCCUGAAGGAACGUUGAAGACGACGACGUUGAUAGGCCGGGUGUGUAAGCGCAGCGAUGCGUUGAGCUAACCGGUACUAAUGAACCGUGAGGCUUAACCUU